Molecule: long non-coding RNA, 314 nt
Organism: Gossypium raimondii (Peruvian cotton)
Lineage: Eukaryota; Viridiplantae; Streptophyta; Magnoliopsida; Malvales; Malvaceae
Exons: 2
Source: RefSeq, a predicted model, not a curated record
UGCUAAUGAUUAUGAAAAUUAUCUUAAUUUCUUUUCGUAGCUAAUAUCGCACCCGAGGCAUCCACGAGGAAAGGAAAAGAAAAAGUGGACGAGGAAUAGACACGGGAAUUACGGUUGUAGAAGUCAAGCACUGAACCAGCAUUCAAAGCCAGACCCGACUUCAGCAAACUUUGGUGAUGUAUAUUUUCUUUAGUAAUGUGGCAUGUACAUAGGAUGUGUAUAAAGGUUAUUAUGUUUUUAAUAUAAAUGGUUAGAAAUGUUAGUAUUAUAAGUUUAUGAAUUAUAAUGAAAGAAGUUUAUCUAUUUCUAUUUAA